RNAcentral lists this ribosomal RNA (405 nucleotides) under uncultured prokaryote. Its description in RNAcentral is "bacterial SSU rRNA". It matches the Rfam family "Archaeal small subunit ribosomal RNA", at positions 341 to 746 of the family's 1478-position model. The record is from RNAcentral.
GCGAAAACUUUACAAUGCUGGCAACAGCGAUAAGGGAACCUCGAGUGCCAGGUUACAAAUCUGGCUGUCGAGAUGCCUAAAAAGCAUUUCAUAGCAAGGGCCGGGCAAGACCGGUGCCAGCCGCCGCGGUAACACCGGCGGCUCGAGUGGUAACCGUUAUUAUUGGGUCUAAAGGGUCUGUAGCCGGCCGGAUAAGUCUCUUGAGAAAUCUGGCAGCUUAACUGUCAGGCUUUCAGGAGAUACUGGCUGGCUCGAGGCCGGGAGAGGUGAGAGGUACUUCAGGGGUAGGGGUGAAAUCUUGUAAUCCUUGAAGGACCACCAGUGGCGAAGGCGUCUCACAAGAACAGAUCUGACGGCAAGGGACGAAAGAGAGGGGGACGAAUCGGAGUAGAUACUCCAGUGGUC